Molecule: long non-coding RNA, 1526 nt
Filed under: Olea europaea subsp. europaea
Lineage: Eukaryota; Viridiplantae; Streptophyta; Magnoliopsida; Lamiales; Oleaceae
Source: RNAcentral
CACUCUUAUCAUCGCCCGUGAAAUUUUUUUCUGUUGUUGUUUUUUAUCUUUAUACUAGAGGUAAUUUUUUGUUCUUGAGUUAUUUUUCACUUUAAUAAUAUGUUGAAUCUCUGUACCUUUGGGUAUUUUCUUUUUUUGGGGGGGGGGGGUCCUAGCAUGUGGGAUCUUGCUUUACUAAUCUUCAAUCUGGGUUGUAGCAAGAAUAGAUAUACUGUUGUUGCCGUUUAAGUCUAUUUUCAUACUUUUGUGUUCCCUUUAGUUUUGCAAUGGAGAAAGUUAUUUGUUUUUGUGUAGUUUGUUCUAUAUGUGCCCUACUUUUGGUUUUUGCGAGAUUAAUGUUUCUUCUUCUGAACUUUCUGUUGUUUUCUCUUUCCAUCAAUUUAUUUAAACUUAUUAACUGUCUAUGAGGUUAUUGAAGAAAGUAGGAAAAAUAAGGAACUAAAGCUCGCCAUAAUUGUGUGAUGGCUGCAAAACUUUAUUUAAUGCUAUUAUAGUGAGCGUUUAUUUUUCUUAAUUCAUUUCUAUCCAUUGAAUGACCAAUUUUUGCUAUGUAUGUCUAUGUAUGGUAUUUUCACUAUUUAUUCAGCAAGAUAUGGUAUUUAUUUUUACUAUAGAGGUAAUCUUUCUGAUUUGGAGUCAUUUUUCCCUCUUCUAAUUUCUUGAAUCUCUUACUUUUGGAUUUUUUCUUUUCUUGGAGCUUUAGCAUGUGCGAUAUUGCCACACUAAUCUGCAAUCUGGGUUUUAUCAAGAGUAUGUAUAUUGUUGUUGUCGUUCAAGUAUAUCUUUUUACUCUUAUGUUCCCUUUAGUUUUGCAAUGGCGAAAGAUUUUUUCUUCUUCUGUUUUUUCUGUAGCAGAAGAAUGUGCUUUUCAUUUCUCUUAGAUUGAUCCAUAAAUUUUGAGCUUCCUAUGUGUUGACUAUGAUUUUUGUGUUCGAUUCUUUCUUCUGGGUAGUUGCUUAAGUUCCAAAUUGAUACGUAUUUUCAAUUUCUCUAUUUCUUGGGUGCAUAUUUAUGUUUUUUGUUUGGGGGGGGGGGGUAUUCAUUAUAUAUAUCCCUGUACAAUAAAAGGGACUUCAUUCAGGCACUAUUCAUCAGAUUUUUCUUUGUUUUUUUUUUUUAAACUUAGCCUGAUAUUUUUUCCUUCAACCAGUGUAAAUUUGCCAGCUGUUUUGCUUUUUUACUUUCACGCAACCCUCAUCCCUUCACAAUUGUAUCCCACCUUUACUCUUUCACUCCAUUUUUUCACAGCUUUAUCUCACCUUCUCUGUUACAUGUAAGUAUUAUGCCCUAGGUCCAAUCAACUUUGGACAUAAAUACUUUUAUAUAUAAUUAAUGCAAUUAAAUGACAGAUCUAUUAUUUAAUUAAUAGACAAUUAAAUAAAUAAUAGAGUCCGUAGAUUCAAAUAUUUGUAAUUUGUUAAUCACAAGGAGUUGUGAUUGUGAGAUACAAAUUACAUCUGAUUGAAUCUUAAAUCAUCCGUGGUCGUAAGUAAUAACGAGAUACGGAUAUCGUUAUUACGGAUAGA